Small nucleolar RNA from Abrus precatorius (Indian licorice), 126 nucleotides. RefSeq annotates it as small nucleolar RNA U19. The transcript has a single exon. The record is from RefSeq and is a predicted model, not a curated record. NCBI's taxonomy places the organism in Eukaryota, Viridiplantae, Streptophyta, Magnoliopsida, Fabales, Fabaceae.
AUGCGGCUUAGUUAGGGGGCACACAGAAAUUGGAACCAAAUUAACGUUUGCUUCCGUCUAAGAGAGGCCUUUUGAAGGGGCUCUGCGUUCUCUCUUCAGUUGUCCCUCAAGCAGCCUUUCACAUUU